RNAcentral lists this ribosomal RNA (253 nucleotides) under uncultured bacterium. Its description in RNAcentral is "partial 16S ribosomal RNA". It matches the Rfam family "Bacterial small subunit ribosomal RNA", at positions 524 to 776 of the family's 1533-position model. The record is from RNAcentral.
UACGUAGGGGGCAAGCGUUGUCCGGAUUUAUUGGGCGUAAAGAGCGUGUAGGCGGCCAGGUAGGUCAGCUGUGAAAACUCGAGGCUCAACCUCGAGACGUCGGUUGAAACCGUAUGGCUAGAGUCCGGAAGAGGAGAGUGGAAUUCCCGGUGUAGCGGUGAAAUGCGCAGAUAUCGGGAAGAACACCCGUGGCGAAGGCGGCUCUCUGGGACGGUACUGACGCUGAGACGCGAAAGCGUGGGGAGCGAACAGG